Long non-coding RNA from Wasmannia auropunctata (little fire ant), 517 nucleotides. RefSeq lists it as uncharacterized. Lineage: Eukaryota; Metazoa; Arthropoda; Insecta; Hymenoptera; Formicidae. The transcript is spliced from 4 exons. The record is from RefSeq and is a predicted model, not a curated record.
GCUUCACGCACAAUAUCGCGUUAUUAUCUUUCGAGGCACGACGAUUGCGAGAAGCCCUUGUAACUAUAAUCGUUGCAUUAUUUCUCAGGACAUCAAACGCGUACAUUUCUUACGGUAGCUAAUGAUCGCAAGUACUAAGAGACGCUCGCCGCGAUUAUUUUUGUCGUUAUAUGAUCAGCUCGUACGUAUUGAAUAAUUCCCACGUUUGAGAAUCGUGCGCGAUUGUAAUUAACGGUAUACGUGAGUGUUGCGUUGUGUGGCCAAAACUAAGGAAGCUGAGAGGAGGAGGAGGUCUGGGAGGCAUCGGGCGACGACGGAGCAACUACAAGUUCAACGUAAUUCAACGCCGAAAUCAAGGAACCUGAGAGGAAGAGGGGGCCUAGGAGGCAUCGGGCAACGGCGGAGCAACUAUAAGUUCAACGUAGUUUCAACUCCGCUGCUGCGCAUCGUUCGGUGAGUCUCUUAUUUUGAUUUACGAGGCAUUAUGAAUCUGUGAUAAUGAUCAAACGUAUAAGAU